CCUGUCUGAUUGAGAGAUCUUUAUGUUUCAGCUGCAGACGCUGAAAAACCAGCUGAAGUUCCUGCACCUGAGGAAACACCUGAGGAAACACCUGAGGAAACACCUGAAGAAACACCUGAGGAAACACCUGAGGAACCAGCGGAGGAGGCAACAGCUCCUGCAGAGCCUGAAGCUGAAGACACAAACCCUGACACAGACGCCGCGACAGAAGAUGCUGAAGAAACACCAGCAGGUGAUCUGAUCUAAACACAAAGACAUUACACUCCACAAACAACACUGAGAAUAACGAUUCAGAACAGCCACAGAAACCUGAGAGAUCAGGAGUUUCUAUCAGAUAAUGUGUCCCAGUUAUUCUCAGCCCUGAAAUAUUUCAUAGCCAGAAGCGGCUCUUUCUGAACGCAAUCUUCAAUGAAAUGAUUUCAAAAAUCCUUCAAAUAUCCUGUGACCAUGAAGUCCUGGAAAAGUCAUAGAAAUGCAUCUGGGAAGCCUGUAAUAAUCGUGUGGUUUUGACUAUGACGUAUUUUCCUCUCUGUACCGUUUCGCUGAAAAAGCAGACGCAGCAGAUCAGACAUACUGGUCUGGCAACUAAAUGAGUUUAAACACUAAAAUUACUAACUGGAAAUAAAAACUGAAGUCACUAACUGGAAAUAAAAUAACUAAAAGU
Long non-coding RNA from Sinocyclocheilus rhinocerous, 664 nucleotides. RefSeq lists it as uncharacterized. Lineage: Eukaryota; Metazoa; Chordata; Actinopteri; Cypriniformes; Cyprinidae. The transcript is spliced from 3 exons. The record is from RefSeq and is a predicted model, not a curated record.